Molecule: ribosomal RNA, 263 nt
Filed under: uncultured bacterium
Lineage: Bacteria
Description: partial 16S ribosomal RNA
Rfam family: Bacterial small subunit ribosomal RNA
Source: RNAcentral
GACAGAGGGUGCAAACGUUGUUCGGAAUCACUGGGCGUAAGGCGUGCGUAGGCGGUCUUGUAAGUCGGAUGUGAAAGCCCUGGGCUCAACCUAGGAAGUGCACUCGAUACUGCGAGACUUGAGUACUGGAGAGGUUGGUGGAAUUCUCGGUGUAGAGGUGAAAUUCGUAGAUAUCGGGAAGAACAUCGGUGGCGAAGGCGGCCAACUGGACAGAUACUGACGCUGAGGCACGAAAGCGUGGGGAGCAAACAGGAUUAGAACUA